GGGGAUGUAGCUCAGCAGCACAGUGCCUGCCUGGCAACCACAAGGUCCUAAAUUCAAUCCUUAGCAACCCCC
This 72-nucleotide transfer RNA is filed under the name Heterocephalus glaber (naked mole-rat). It matches the Rfam family "tRNA". From Rfam's summary of the family: Transfer RNA (tRNA) molecules are approximately 80 nucleotides in length. Their secondary structure includes four short double-helical elements and three loops (D, anti-codon, and T loops). Further hydrogen bonds mediate the characteristic L-shaped molecular structure. tRNAs have two regions of fundamental functional importance: the anti-codon, which is responsible for specific mRNA codon recognition, and the 3' end, to which the tRNAs corresponding amino acid is attached (by aminoacyl-tRNA synthetases). tRNAs cope with the degeneracy of the genetic code in two manners: having more than one tRNA (with a specific anti-codon) for a particular amino acid; and 'wobble' base-pairing, i.e. permitting non-standard base-pairing at the 3rd anti-codon position. The record is from Rfam by way of RNAcentral. Lineage: Eukaryota; Metazoa; Chordata; Mammalia; Rodentia; Bathyergidae.